CCUACGGUGGGCAGCAGUGGGGAAUAUUGGACAAUGGGCGAAAGCCUGAUCCAGCCAUGCCGCGUGUGUGAAGAAGGCCUUCGGGUUUUAAAGCACUUUCAGUGGGGAAGAAAGCCUUGGGGCUAAUACCCUCGAGGAAGGACAUCACCCACAGAAGAAGCACCGGCUAACUCCGUGCCAGCAGCCGCGGUAAUACGGAGGGUGCGAGCGUUAAUCGGAAUUACUGGGCGUAAAGCGCGCGUAGGCGGUCUGAUAAGCCGGUUGUGAAAGCCCCGGGCUCAACCUGGGAACGGCAUCCGGAACUGUCAGGCUAGAGUGCAGGAGAGGAAGGUAGAAUUCCCGGUGUAGCGGUGAAAUGCGUAGAGAUCGGGAGGAAUACCAGUGGCGAAGGCGGCCUUCUGGACUGACACUGACGCUGAGGUGCGAAAGCGUGGGUAGCAAACAGGAUUAGAUACCCGAGUAGUC
Molecule: ribosomal RNA, 465 nt
Filed under: Vreelandella stevensii
Lineage: Bacteria; Pseudomonadati; Pseudomonadota; Gammaproteobacteria; Oceanospirillales; Halomonadaceae
Description: partial 16S ribosomal RNA
Rfam family: Bacterial small subunit ribosomal RNA
Source: RNAcentral